Molecule: ribosomal RNA, 376 nt
Filed under: uncultured bacterium
Lineage: Bacteria
Description: bacterial SSU rRNA
Rfam family: Bacterial small subunit ribosomal RNA
Source: RNAcentral
AUACGUAGGGUGCAAGCGUUGUCCGGAAUUAUUGGGCGUAAAGAGCUCGUAGGCGGUUUGUCGCGUCUGCUGUGAAAAUCCAAGGCUCAACCUUGGACCUGCAGUGGGUACGGGCAAGCUAGAGUGCGGUAGGGGAGAUGGGAAUUCCUGGUGUAGCGGUGGAAUGCGCAGAUAUCAGGAGGAACACCAAUGGCGAAGGCACAUCUCUGGGCCAACACUGACGCUGAGGCGCGAAGGCUAGGGGAGCAAACAGGAUUAGAUACCCUGGUAGUCCUAGCCUUAAACGAUGAUGACUUGGUGUGUCGGGUUUGAGCCCCGAUGUGCCGGAGCUAACGCGUUAAGUCAUCCGCCUGGGGAGUACGGUCGCAAGACUGAA